Molecule: transfer RNA, 64 nt
Filed under: Oreolalax jingdongensis (Jingdong lazy toad)
Lineage: Eukaryota; Metazoa; Chordata; Amphibia; Anura; Megophryidae
Description: tRNA-Cys
Rfam family: tRNA
About the family: Transfer RNA (tRNA) molecules are approximately 80 nucleotides in length. Their secondary structure includes four short double-helical elements and three loops (D, anti-codon, and T loops).
Source: RNAcentral
GGCCCUGUGGUGAAAUCAUGCUGGAUUGCAAAUCCAGAGAAGCGGGUAACUCCCGCCGGGGCUU